GCCUGGCUGGCUUAGUCGGUAGAGCACGUAACUCUUAAUCUUGCGGUUGUGAGUUCAGAGCCCCAUGUUGGGCA
RNAcentral lists this transfer RNA (74 nucleotides) under Mustela putorius furo (domestic ferret). It matches the Rfam family "tRNA". Rfam says of the family: Transfer RNA (tRNA) molecules are approximately 80 nucleotides in length. Their secondary structure includes four short double-helical elements and three loops (D, anti-codon, and T loops). The record is from Rfam by way of RNAcentral. Lineage: Eukaryota; Metazoa; Chordata; Mammalia; Carnivora; Mustelidae.